This is a long non-coding RNA of Passer domesticus (house sparrow), 665 nucleotides long. RefSeq lists it as uncharacterized. The record is from RefSeq and is a predicted model, not a curated record. The transcript is spliced from 2 exons. NCBI's taxonomy places the organism in Eukaryota, Metazoa, Chordata, Aves, Passeriformes, Passeridae.
AGUGUUAUUUGGAGGUGCAAGUGGUAAAGGAAUUCACUACCACACUGCUUAUUCCAUAGGCAUUUUCUUCAUUAAAAAAGAGAGAAGAUGAAAGGAUGAGCAAACCCAAAUCUAAACAGCAGCAACCAAACAAGGCUUCAGAAGCUACAGAAGUGAAGACAAGUCUCACAUGUCAGACUCGUACUGUGUACUAAGAAGCCUCUGGGGGAAGCUGAGACAGACGUGUGAACUGAGAAACCCUGGGCAAAGGCAAAUAUGAGAAAUUUUCUCCUUCCCCAGUACACAUUAUUAGGAUUUCAAACUUCUUCAGAUUCAUCUUUUUGCUUUGCUUAAAACUAGUAACUCAAAAUACAGUUUCUCAGAUAACAGGCUAUAUGGAGGUUAACUUCUCCCUUAAAUUAUUCUCCUUGAAGUAGUUAAACAUUCAUUGGAGAAAGCAGGUGACUACAGAAUCUAGAAAAUAACAUUGUUGAGAUUCAGGAGAUCUAGACUGAAACAUUUUCCUCAGUCCCAGGUGAAUGGCCUAGAUCCCCAGUCUUUGUUUCUAGCCUUGGAUUUGUUACUACAGUCCAAGAUUCCACUGUACAGUGAAGGAGCCAUUGUGUCUUCUACAGAGAAAAUGCCACAUUCUCAGUCUUAGAGACUUUAUCUCUACUGAAUCCCUU